This 498-nucleotide ribosomal RNA is filed under the name uncultured Glomeromycotina. RNAcentral's name for it is "partial small subunit ribosomal RNA". It matches the Rfam family "Eukaryotic small subunit ribosomal RNA", at positions 591 to 1092 of the family's 1831-position model. The record is from RNAcentral. Lineage: Eukaryota; Fungi; Glomeromycota.
CCAAUAGCGUAUAUUAAAGUUGUUGCAGUUAAAAAGCUCGUAGUUGAAUUUCGGGAUUCUACCGUUGGUCGGGCUAACAAGUCUGUACUGGUGUGUAGAAUUUCUACCUUCUGGGGAACUAUCAUGUUAUUAAUUUAGCGUGGUGGGAAACCAGGACCUUUACCUUGAAAAAAUUAGAGUGUUCAAAGCAGGCUUACGUCUGAAUACAUUAGCAUGGAAUAAUAGAAUAGGACGGUGGUCCUGUUUUGUUGGUUUCUGAAUCACCGUAAUGAUUAAUAGGGAUAGUUGGGGGCAUUAGUAUUCAAUUGUCAGAGGUGAAAUUCUUGGAUUUAUUGAAGACUAACUUCUGCGAAAGCAUUUGCCAAGGAUGUUUUCAUUAAUCAAGAACGAAAGUUAGGGGAUCAAAGACGAUCAGAUACCGUCGUAGUCUUAACCAUAAACUAUGCCGACUAGGGAUCGGACGAUGUUAAAUUUUAUUGACUCGUUCGGCGCCUUACG